This is a non-coding RNA of Acanthosepion pharaonis, 97 nucleotides long. The record is from the annotation of a GenBank genome assembly. Lineage: Eukaryota; Metazoa; Mollusca; Cephalopoda; Sepiida; Sepiidae.
UUGGAAGACCGGUUCCCGUACGAUCACCGAAGUUAAGCAACGUCGAGCUCAGACAAUACCUAGAUGCGUGACCUCUUGGGAAUACCAGGUGCUGUAA